Molecule: ribosomal RNA, 253 nt
Filed under: uncultured bacterium
Lineage: Bacteria
Description: partial 16S ribosomal RNA
Rfam family: Bacterial small subunit ribosomal RNA
Source: RNAcentral
UACGAAGGGGGCUAGCGUUACUCGGAAUCACUGGGCGUAAAGCGUACGUAGGCGGAUUGCUAAGUCAGGGGUGAAAUCCUGGAGCUCAACUCCAGAACUGCCUUUGAUACUGGCGAUCUCGAGUCCGGGAGAGGUGAGUGGAACUGCGAGUGUAGAGGUGAAAUUCGUAGAUAUUCGCAAGAACACCAGUGGCGAAGGCGGCUCACUGGCCCGGUACUGACGCUGAGGUGCGAAAGCGUGGGGAGCAAACAGG